This 719-nucleotide long non-coding RNA is filed under the name Chinchilla lanigera (long-tailed chinchilla). Its description in RNAcentral is "lncRNA (ENSCLAG00000024114.1)". The record is from RNAcentral. Lineage: Eukaryota; Metazoa; Chordata; Mammalia; Rodentia; Chinchillidae.
GGGCUCGAUUCACCCAGGCUCACCAGGAAAAUGCAUGAUGACGUGCUCUCUGCGCUCCAGGCCCCACCUAUCAUUCCCACUGGCUGGAGAGGGCAUAGGCCUCUGCACGCAGGCUCCCUGCAGGGCAGUAGGUUGCCUGGUGGCAUCUGCUGGUUGUGCCUGCAGUGCCCAGUGCAGGCGGUAGAGAUGGGCACCUCUGCCUGGCACAUGGCAGGGGCCAGGCCUAUUGGCUCAGCUGGGGAAACCCGUCCAUCUGGAUAGAAGCUGCCAGCAUGUGCGGAGUGGCCACCUGGACAAAAGGGACUGUGGCUUGGGCUGAGGUGAAAGUUCCCUGCACCCCGGGCCUAGCCCAAAUGGCUGUGUCCCCUGGGCAAGCAGCAGAGCCAGAGCUCCAGCCGUCUGGGAGCGCCGUGCAGCCCCUGCCUGGGGGCAAUAUCUGCAGUGUGAUCUGUGAUCGAUGUCUGUGGAGGGCACAAGGCGCCCUGCCAGGCCCUCCACGCCCGCGCCCUGCCCCGCGAGGUGAUGGUGGGGGUGGCCAUGAGCGGCUCCCGAGCCUGCCCAGCCUCCCCCAGCACCAGCAGGAAGCGGUGCUCGCGAGGGGUGGUGGAGGUGACACCGCUGCAGGAAGGAGGCCAGGGUGGGGUGGGGACAGAGGCGGUGAGGGCAGCAUCGUCGUCCUCCCCACUUGGGACCUGCAGUGGUCACCGUCACCCCCAUGA